UACGUAGGGUCCGAGCGUUGUCCGGAAUUAUUGGGCGUAGAGAGCUCGUAGGCGGUUUGUCGCGUCUGCUGUGAAAUCCCGAGGCUCAACCUCGGGCCUGCAGUGGGUACGGGCAGACUGGAGUGCGGUAGGGGAGAAUGGAAUUCCUGGUGUAGCGGUGGAAUGCGCAGAUAUCAGGAGGAACACCGAUGGCGAAGGCAGUUCUCUGGGCCGUAACUGACGCUGAGGAGCGAAAGCGUGGGGAGCGAACAGG
RNAcentral lists this ribosomal RNA (253 nucleotides) under uncultured bacterium. RNAcentral describes it as "partial 16S ribosomal RNA". It matches the Rfam family "Bacterial small subunit ribosomal RNA", at positions 524 to 776 of the family's 1533-position model. The record is from RNAcentral.